UUUUUUUUAAAGGUGUUGACUGCCACAUUAUUGGUGGAUGAGGAUCAACCAACACUAAUUUUAGCUUUUCUCAACUUCUUCGACACUUCAACAUGUGCGCGAAGGAUAACAUGUGGUUGAACCUAAUUGGAGGGUGUUCAUAUGGACGAUUUUUUUUGAAAGAUCGAAUGCAUGAUCAAACUAUCUGAACACAACUACCCUGCCCCAGGUUAAGAUUAAGGGUUUUAGAUCCGAAAUAAACACCAACUUCUAGGCUCAAAGUGGUUGACUAGGGAUUAACUCCUUAUCUCUUCAGUGUUUGGGGAUUUGAAACAAUGCCUUACAUCAUUGACAAGGUUUUACUCAAAAGCAUACCACAACAAUUUCAGGUGUUUCGUUUUCAUCAUCCUCCCUCCAAUCUUUGUUAACACAACGGUUUGAUAAACAAAAGUGAAUGAGAGGAGUAUUUUUUUAUUUUUUUAUUUUUUUUUUAUUUUUUUAUUUUUAACAUAAAUGAAAAACGAGUGAAUACGAAUGGAUUGAUUCAAAAGAUGCAUAAACAUUUCAUUAAUCUUACCAAUUCA
Molecule: long non-coding RNA, 563 nt
Filed under: Lathyrus oleraceus (garden pea)
Lineage: Eukaryota; Viridiplantae; Streptophyta; Magnoliopsida; Fabales; Fabaceae
Description: Pisum sativum (pea) long non-coding RNA (PSAT_LNC018692)
Source: RNAcentral